This 509-nucleotide ribosomal RNA is filed under the name uncultured bacterium. RNAcentral's name for it is "bacterial SSU rRNA". It matches the Rfam family "Bacterial small subunit ribosomal RNA", at positions 10 to 507 of the family's 1533-position model. The record is from RNAcentral.
AGUUUGGAUCAUGGCUCAGAGUGAACGCUGGCGGCAGGCCUAAUACAUGCAAGUCGAACGGCAGCACAGCAGAGCUUGCUCUGUGGGUGGCGAGUGGCGGACGGGUGAGGAAUACAUGGGAAUCUGCCCAGUCGUGGGGGAUAACGUAGGGAAACUUACGCUAAUACCGCAUGCGCCCUUCGGGGGAAAGCCGGGGACCUUCGGGCCUGGCGCGAUUGGAUGAGCCCAUGUCGGAUUAGCUAGUUGGCGGGGUAAUGGCCCACCAAGGCGACGAUCCGUAGCUGGUCUGAGAGGAUGAUCAGCCACACUGGAACUGAGACGCGGUCCAGACUCCUACGGGAGGCAGCAGUAGGGAAUAUUGGACAAUGGGCGCAAGCCUGAUCCAGCCAUGCCGCGUGAGUGAAGAAGGCCCUCGGGUUGUAAAGCUCUUUUGUCCGGAAAGAAAAGCGCCGGGUUAAUACCCUGGUGUCCUGACGGUACCGGAAGAAUAAGCACCGGCUAACUUCGUG